RNAcentral lists this transfer RNA (63 nucleotides) under Setaphyes kielensis. RNAcentral's name for it is "tRNA-Glu". The record is from RNAcentral. Lineage: Eukaryota; Metazoa; Kinorhyncha; Allomalorhagida; Pycnophyidae.
CAAAUUAUAGUCUAAAAAGGACUUAGAAUUUUCAUUUCUAGAGUAAAUAAAAUUUUUAUUUGA